UGCGGUGACGAUAUCGCAGGGGGCCCACCCGUUCUCAUCCCGAACACGGAAGUUAAGCCCUGUGGAGCCGAUGGUACUUGCUUGGCAACGAGCCGGUAGAGUAGGUAAUUGCCGCAU
This 117-nucleotide ribosomal RNA is filed under the name Clostridiales bacterium. Lineage: Bacteria; Bacillati; Bacillota; Clostridia; Eubacteriales. The record is from RNAcentral.